CAAUAGCGUAUAUUAAAGUUGUUGCAGUUAAAAAGCUCGUAGUUGGAUUUGUGGCGUACGGUGUGUUCCGGGCACUUGUUGUCUGAGUAACCUGCUGUUGCCAUCCUUGGGUGGAACCUGUGUGGCAUUAGGUUGUCGUGCAGGGGAUGCCCAUCAUUUACUGUGAAAAAAUUAGAGUGUUCAAAGCAGGCUUAUGCCGUUGAAUAUAUUAGCAUGGAAUAAUGAGAUAGGACUUUUUUGCUAUUUUGUUGGUUUGCGCAAAGAGGUAAUGAUUAAUAGGGACAUUUGGGGGUAUUCGUAUUCCAUUGUCAGAGGUGAAAUUCUUGGAUUUUUGGAAGACGAACUACUGCGAAAGCAUUUACCAAGGAUGUUUUCAUUAA
This 380-nucleotide ribosomal RNA is filed under the name uncultured eukaryote. Its description in RNAcentral is "partial 18S ribosomal RNA". It matches the Rfam family "Eukaryotic small subunit ribosomal RNA", at positions 592 to 976 of the family's 1831-position model. The record is from RNAcentral.